Molecule: ribosomal RNA, 245 nt
Filed under: uncultured bacterium
Lineage: Bacteria
Description: partial 16S ribosomal RNA
Rfam family: Bacterial small subunit ribosomal RNA
Source: RNAcentral
UAGGGGGCAAGCGUUAUCCGGAUUUACUGGGUGUAAAGGGAGCGUAGACGGUGUGGCAAGUCUGAAGUGAAAGCCCGCGGCUUAACUGCGGGACUGCUUUGGAAACUGCCAUGCUAGAGUGCUGGAGAGGUAAGUGGAAUUCCUAGUGUAGCGGUGAAAUGCGUAGAUAUUAGGAGGAACACCAGUGGCGAAGGCGGCUUACUGGACAGUAACUGACGUUGAGGCUCGAAAGCGUGGGGAGCAAA